UCCCCAGUAGCUCAGUUGGUUAGAGCAUUCGACUGUUAAUCGAAGGGUCGUAGGUUCAAGUCCUACCUGGGGAG
This 74-nucleotide transfer RNA is filed under the name bacterium. Its description in RNAcentral is "tRNA-Asn". It matches the Rfam family "tRNA". From Rfam's summary of the family: Transfer RNA (tRNA) molecules are approximately 80 nucleotides in length. Their secondary structure includes four short double-helical elements and three loops (D, anti-codon, and T loops). Further hydrogen bonds mediate the characteristic L-shaped molecular structure. tRNAs have two regions of fundamental functional importance: the anti-codon, which is responsible for specific mRNA codon recognition, and the 3' end, to which the tRNAs corresponding amino acid is attached (by aminoacyl-tRNA synthetases). tRNAs cope with the degeneracy of the genetic code in two manners: having more than one tRNA (with a specific anti-codon) for a particular amino acid; and 'wobble' base-pairing, i.e. permitting non-standard base-pairing at the 3rd anti-codon position. The record is from RNAcentral. RNAcentral also lists the same sequence under 3 other names.